This is a small nuclear RNA of Psammomys obesus (fat sand rat), 107 nucleotides long. Lineage: Eukaryota; Metazoa; Chordata; Mammalia; Rodentia; Muridae. The record is from RefSeq and is a predicted model, not a curated record.
GUGCUCCCUUCGGCAGCACAUUUACUAAAAUUGGAACAAUACAGAGAACAUUAGUUUGGCCCCUGUGCUUGGAUGACAUGAAAAUUCGUGAAGCAGUCCAUAUUCUU